Molecule: long non-coding RNA, 1026 nt
Filed under: Mytilus galloprovincialis (Mediterranean mussel)
Lineage: Eukaryota; Metazoa; Mollusca; Bivalvia; Mytilida; Mytilidae
Source: RNAcentral
UACACGGAGAACUUUAGUUUAUAUUUUAAACAACACAAGUUUACAGUUUUAACAGUGUUAUCAUGAUACGUGAUAUGUCUGUCAUUUUUCGGAUUUUUGAUCGAAAGUGAACUGUUUUAGUAUUUGUUUUUUGGGGUUUUUUUCGUGUGGCCGUCCGUCUGUUAUUCAGUAUUGAGGGGGGUCAGUAUUCGUACGAGAACACAUAUGAAACGUUGCUUUCGAUAAUUUUGAAUAAAAACUGUUCACAUUUACUUGGGGGCUCAAUUAAACAGAGGAAGUUCCUUUUGUAUUGUGAAUCUUUUAAGAUAUGGGAAAUUCGUUACCGGCUGAAUUAGCGGUUGGAUCGUUUUUUUAAGUCUCCCGAUCUUACGAGAACAUUAUGGUCAAUGCCUUAGUAGGUAAACACUCCCAUUCGUUGUAGCAGGGACUUUCUAUACUAAGUAUAUACUAGACUAAUAUAGAAAGUCCCUGGUUGUAGUUAUAUAUAUGUCUGUUCAGCUUUCAACAAUAUUGAAAUUCAAGAUCCUCGAUAAAAAAAAAAUAUCUUGCGUUCUAUAAUCUUGCUUUAUAUGUUUAUUGAACUUACCAGGUUCUAAAAAAAUAUCUUUAAAUACAGAUAAUAAUUGUUUGCAUGAAAAUUGCUCCAAGGAUCCAGCAAAACUGAUCUUUCUUAAAGUAAAGAAAUCGAAAGAAAACGGGUAAUUUUUAGCCAUAUCAUUUGAGAAAAAAAUCCGCGGUCACAACGUAUUUAAUGUUAACAAUUAUAGGUCAAAGUACGGCCUUCAAGACGGAGCCUUGGCUCACCCCGAACAACAAUCUCAGCUUGUUUUUGCAUAAAAGUUACUUCCAGGUUCAAGCAAUAUUGAUGUUUCUUAAGGAAAUCGAAGGGAAACGGGUAAUUUUUAGCUAAUGACUGAGAGAACAAAAUCGGCGGGGGCUACACCCCCAACCCCCUAUCUUGGGGACCUCAAUCGGUGGCCCACAAACCCCUGCCUCCCCUGAAUUCGAACACUAGUUACGGCCCUG